CUUUUGAGUAGUAUCAUGAUUUACCAAGGGGUUAUUAAAAAAAAAAUAAAGACGACAAAAAGUCAAACAAGUUCAUUAAUAUUUCGUAGAAGAGCUCACGAUGAUCUCCGGUGAUCCUGUUCCACUGUGACACCACUCGUGUCGCUAAUUAUUACAAAUUCAGUGACAAGUCUCAUUCAGGAAUGUCACAAUCGAGCAAAAGAGGAAUUAUGGUUUAUGGCUACUAGUACAAUAAAUUUGAACAUAUCAGAAUUUCGAACACAGAUAUUCCAUAACGGUCACCACCUUGUACCGGUCUUUUUUCUGUUUUAUAUCUUGAAUUGACAUCAGUAUGUACUUAUAAAAAAGAAGAUGUGGUAUGAUUGCCCAUGAGACAACCCUUCAUUCAGAGUCCACUUCGUUUGCACCUAA
Molecule: long non-coding RNA, 411 nt
Filed under: Mytilus galloprovincialis (Mediterranean mussel)
Lineage: Eukaryota; Metazoa; Mollusca; Bivalvia; Mytilida; Mytilidae
Source: RNAcentral